Molecule: long non-coding RNA, 2734 nt
Filed under: Nicotiana tabacum (common tobacco)
Lineage: Eukaryota; Viridiplantae; Streptophyta; Magnoliopsida; Solanales; Solanaceae
Description: long non-coding RNA (NTAB_LNC001212)
Source: RNAcentral
AACUCAUACAACAAAAAUCAAAUUUCAUUAAAAUAUCUAUUGUAAGUUUUUAACAAACAUUACAAAUCAAAUUGAAAUAAAACUAAAGUUAUACAAACACAUAAAGUAUAUAAUAACUUUAAUGUUAGACAAUCUAGAGUAGUUCCUCAAUGAAUAAAUAUACAAAAAUCCAAAGUACUUGCUUGGUGAUUCACUAAUUUGUGUUGCCGUCACUUGAUGAUACUCUUACACCCACGGGUGAAGCAGACUCGCUCUUCACAUCACUAUGCUGAAAUAAUUAAACAAAAACAUUCGAUGAAUAAGUUAUAAACGAGUAGCAUAGUCUAACAAUAGCAUUAUACACAAGUUGUUGGACAAAUCAAGUUACAUAAAUAAACAAAAACUCCAAAUCUUCUAACAAAUAAAUCGGUCACUUGGUUUAACAAGUAAAAACAGCAUUAAACAGAAGUUGCUAGAUACUCUCACAUGAACAAGAACUAAAGUACAAAGUUGUUUCCUCGUAUAUUAUCACAAAACUUACAAAUUAUUCUACUCGGCGGCAUAAAUUCUAGCUAUAUAUUCAUGAAAAAGACCACAUAUGUAACUAUUAAAGUAUAAGUCAACCUCGACAGGUCUUCUAACAUUAGAAUUAAGAAAAUAAAGUAUAAGCUUCAAUCCAGCCCCAUGAUUAAUAGAAGUUAAACUUGUACCAAAGUUGACCGCUAACAACACUGGAACACUGAAGUAAAAGAAAUAAACUGAUAAAAUAGGAGGGGGAAUAAUAAUUAGUUAAACAAACAAACGAGUUUCAAAAUCUUAUGGAGCUAACUUCAAGCAAAAGAAGCAAAAAAAGUGCCAAAACUUUAACAAAAAAUGUAGAAUUUAUAUACUACCAGCUUACUUGAACAUCUUGUUUCUUGAGGGACUUAAUCAAUCUUCUAAGGCAUGAAUUCUACUAGAAUCUGUAUUAGCAAUAACUGCAAAAGAAUAUGAAACAAAGUGCUCUUACUUACUUAACAUAACCUUGGGAAAAGAAGUGCAAGGAUUGAAAAUGUAGGAGGUAACUUACUUGACAUCUCAACAAUUGAAUUCCAAAACUUUUGUUUGAUUAGUUUCUUUAAGUUGUUCUUCUUCAUCGGUUAACCAUCUCAAUAUCCAUUAAAACUUUAGGAAAAUAAAAUUAAACCCGGACAAAGUUAACCAUCCUGUAGCCACAUAUAUAGCAAGAUGUCAAUGAGCCAAUUGCGUUAAUUGUUCACAAGGCUACCAUUUCUUUGUAACUUCAACUGGUGUUCAAUGCUGCAAAUGUUUUUCCAAUAAUUGUAGCUUCCUAUAAUGCAAGAAGUUUGUUAUAUAAAAAGUAAACUUUCUACGAAACGAAUACUUGGUCAAAAGACAAGUUACGAAGCAUAACUUACCCAUCAAUACUAUCAUAUCAGUAAACAAUCCUGAAACUUUUGCAUACAUAUUCACCAGCGAAAUAUAUUCCUUCACCAUGCAUCUUUGCACCGAACAGAUCAUGCAUUAUAAAAAGGGAAAUGGGAAGGAGUAUGAUAGAAGUAUUUCUUAAACUAUAGUAACAAAAAUCACAGAUUCAAAUACAUAUAUCAUAACAAAUGAAAUAUAUAUACAACUAGCUUACUUCAACAUCUCAUAUAUAUCUUGAGGAACUUAAUCAAAUCUUCUAAGACAUGAAUCCUGCCAGUAUCUAUAUCAAUAACAGUUGUAAGAGAAUAUGAAACAAAUUACUCUAUAGUACUUAAUGCAACUGAUAUUCAAUGGAGCAAAUGGUCUUGAAUUAUUGUAACUUCAUGUAAUUCAAGAAGCAUGUUAUAUAAAAGAUAAGUUUUCUCUUAAAAGAGUGUCUUGCCAAUAAAUGAGUUAAGAAAACUCACCCAUCGGUGCUAUCAUACCAACCCACCAAUCUCAAAACCUUUGCAUUGGUAUUAGAGCAUUUAAUCUUCGAUGGAUGUGCAUCACCUUGUCAUUACAACUAAAUAGAAUGUAAAGCACAAAGAAAAAAUGACUGAUAAAAUAAGAAUCAUGAUAAAUUUAGUUUAUCAAAAACUCAUAAUCUGAACACCAUAUCUUUUAGUAUAGAAAAUAAACACGAGUGCCGAAAGAUUAAGAAAACUCAACGGAACAAUUGCAGGCACCCAAAGGUAUUUCUAUUCUUCUUUCGCUGCUCAAUAAUAAUCUCACCCCCCCCCACCCCCCCCCCCAAUUUCCACACAUCCUAAGAAAAGUUAUGGGCAAUCAGUUUGUGAUGGUAUCUAAGAUGAACUCACAUGAUUUCCUGUUAUUAAAAUCUAACUAUCUGAAGCAAAAUUGAAGAGCAAAACACAUAGUAAAAAAAUCUAGGCUUUUAAAAGUACACACUCAAUUGUAAUCACGAACUCGAGAACAAUGGACCACACAAUAAUGAAUCACAAUUUAACCCAAAACCUGUAAUAAUAUACAGAUCCACAAGAAUAUUUAAACAAUUUCGGUUACAAAUUCUACAUCGAAAAAUAAACAAAAAAUACCGUAACAGAAAAUAAGAAAGAGCAUGACAAUUCUUUAUUUUUUGAAUUGCACCGACUUACUAUGUAGAGAAGAUGAUGAAGAAGGGGAAUUGAGCCUCCUGAAAGAUUUCGUGAGUUGGGGAGGGGGAGUUGAGCCCUUCUGAAACAUAUCGUGCCCUGUGAAAAAAUGAGGGAGAAAAAGAGAAGGAAUUUUGCCCGCUUAGUUCUGAAAUUUUUGAGGAUGAUGUCCA